RNAcentral lists this ribosomal RNA (301 nucleotides) under uncultured bacterium. RNAcentral's name for it is "partial 16S ribosomal RNA". It matches the Rfam family "Bacterial small subunit ribosomal RNA", at positions 509 to 807 of the family's 1533-position model. The record is from RNAcentral.
CAGUCGCCGCGGUAAUACGAAGGGGGCUAGCGUUACUCGGAAUUACUGGGCGUAAAGGGCGCGUAGGCGGCACGAUUAGUCAGGCGUGAAAUUCCUGGGCUCAACCUGGGGACUGCGCUUGAUACGGUCGAGCUAGAGGAUGGAAGAGGGUCGUGGAAUUCCCAGUGUAGAGGUGAAAUUCGUAGAUAUUGGGAAGAACACCAGUGGCGAAGGCGGCUCACUGGACGCGUAUUGACGCUGAGGUGCGAAAGCGUGGGGAGCAAACAGGAUUAGAUACCCCCGUAGUCCCUGUCUCUUAUAC